GUUAUAGCAAGUGUGCCGGUAUUGUUAAGCCGGCGCAAGGUGAGACUGGGGGUCAAGGGUGGUACUAAAUUGAAUCCCGAUUCAAAAGUCAUUGCUACUUCAGCUUUCUCUUCAAACAGGGCUGCAUAGUUAGUUGGAAGUAGACGGGAACAAAAAGCAACCAUAUUCUUUCUGCACGGAAUCAAGAAAGAAAUAGGAUAGCACAGGAAAUACCUACCGGACCACACGGACGGCUCUAGGGCACUCCGACCGAACUAGAUCUCAGCCCAACUUUUUUCUUGUCUAUCUGAACCCACUUUAGUAUCCACUCGGGCCCACCUUGCCUUCUUUCUCUCACUAGUCUUUCCGCCUAGACACCUACUUCAACGUGCGUAGGCCUCUUCUCCUAUGCCGUAGCGGAGAAGCUCUGUCCGUCAUUUAGCAUCAGUGCGUUCUGAAGCGGCUGCAGCAUCUGUUGUCACUUUCACCACCUAUACCACUUUCUAAAUCUGUGCUUCUUAAGCUGCUAGCUCGAUAUUAUGGUCUGGCUUUCGAACCUUUAGGGCUUUAGCAACCAAUGCAGGUGAACGACUUCCUUUCGACUUCGUUUUAGUCUUAGUCUCCUCUUUGAACCUGCCCUUGCUUUCACUAUCUGACUUUCUGGCUUUCCCUGAUGGAUUGUCUUUGCCAACUUGUUGGGUGCCAGCCGUCCUUGGAGCGGUUUUUUCAUCCCCUGCUAUUGAAUCAGCUGGUAUAGAAGAGGCUAGUACACAAGCUACUAAAGCUAGCCAGGGAAGUGGGACAGGAACCUUAACCAUCGACUUCUGACUUUCCUGUUCUGGUGGAGUCUUCUCUAAAGGGGGUGAAAAAGAAUAGGAAGAGAUUGAAGAAUAAAGAGAUAUUAUCUUAUAUAGUAUAGAAAGAAGCGGAAUAGGAGCAGAUGGUUCAUAGUUCAUGUAGCAGUGGAUUAGAGCGAGGAGAUAGCUGUGAUGUGAUAGCUGUUGUUGAAUCAGUUGCCUUUGGCGUAUGUAAUAGAAUAUAAGUUUCAAAAAAUCCUAUCUGCCUUAAGGAAUGAAUUUAUAGAGAUAGAGGAAGAGAAGAAGCUAUUUGCGGGAGAAGGGCGGUUUGACUCUAUAUACGCUAUUUUAGUCGCUUCAUGACGGAUGCGAAAGUCACCUUACGAAACUUUCGUUAUUGGG
This 1178-nucleotide unclassified non-coding RNA is filed under the name Hevea brasiliensis (rubber tree). The record is from RNAcentral. Lineage: Eukaryota; Viridiplantae; Streptophyta; Magnoliopsida; Malpighiales; Euphorbiaceae.